UACGUAGGUGGCAAGCGUUGUCCGGAAUUAUUGGGCGUAAAGCGCGCGCAGGCGGCCUCUUAAGUCUGAUGUGAAAGCCCCCGGCUCAACCGGGGAGGGCCAUUGGAAACUGGGAGGCUUGAGUAUAGGAGAGAAGAGUGGAAUUCCACGUGUAGCGGUGAAAUGCGUAGAGAUGUGGAGGAACACCAGUGGCGAAGGCGACUCUUUGGCCUAUAACUGACGCUGAGGCGCGAAAGCGUGGGGAGCAAACAGGAUUAGAUACCCCGGUAGUCC
RNAcentral lists this ribosomal RNA (273 nucleotides) under uncultured bacterium. RNAcentral describes it as "partial 16S ribosomal RNA". It matches the Rfam family "Bacterial small subunit ribosomal RNA", at positions 524 to 796 of the family's 1533-position model. The record is from RNAcentral.